Oryctolagus cuniculus (rabbit) is the source of this 2442-nucleotide non-coding RNA. NCBI's taxonomy places the organism in Eukaryota, Metazoa, Chordata, Mammalia, Lagomorpha, Leporidae. The record is from RefSeq and is a predicted model, not a curated record.
GUUUCAGAAACUAUUUUUACACACAAAAAAUUAUAGAAUUAUGAAUUUAACUGGUGUUGUAAGUCAGUAACUCAUAAUGUUAUAUAUUUCAUUUCCAGCAAUGCUAGUUCUAUGCAAUUUAAACACUGGAGAUUAUCAUUUAUCUUCUCUGAACUUCUUGGAAUAAUCAGGAAAAUACAAACCACCCCAACGUCCUUUUACUGCUAUAGCAGUAAAAUACUAUAGCCAUUUGGGCAGAGGACCAAAUGCCUUGUCAUGCUUCACCAUCAACAUAGGCAAUAUCUAGAAUUAAUUGUAAUGUACUCCAUGUCACAGUUUAUUAGUAUGUUGUUUAUAUACAUAUAUUCACAAGCCAGAAAGAUACACCCAAGUCAAGGACAUAAUCUAGACUACCAUCAAAUUUUAUUAUGGCUACUGACUCUUAUUAUGAAUUUCAAAAUCAGUGGGCAUCCAGUUAGGACAGAAAAAAAAUGAACAGUAAAUUUGAACAGAGAAAAUUAGUGUUUAUAAUUAUUAGAUGCUAACAAAGGAUUAACCCUUAUGGUGUAAAGAAAAUUAUAAAGAAAAUACAGAUUUAGAAUAUAGAGAACUACUAUCUUUAUGACACUGGCAUAAUACUCAAGAGAAUAAAAAUUAUUAGAGAUCUCAAAGCCAAUACACAGAUUGUAAUAACAAGUAUCUUUGGCUCACAGCAGGGUAAAAAGAAUCAGAAAACAAACAAAGCAAAACAAAACAAACAAGUGGAGUACAACAUGUUUUUAAAUUAUAACUGGUAUUUAAUUUAGAAAGGAUACAGAUCAACAGUCAUACCACACCACAUGGGACCACAUGCAGAAGCACUGGUUUUGGUCAGGAGGCAGAAGAGGAAGGGGAAAGCACAGAUCAAAAGGUUUAUUGUGAUUUUUAAAAAUUUACAUAAUAGGCAGAGAAACAGAAAUAUGGAGUGCCCCUAGCCACUGAGUCUCUUCCAAAUACCUCAGCCUUACUGGGAUGAAGUCAGAAGUGGAUUCUCCAUCUAGAUGUCCCAUGUGGGUGGCAGGAACUGAAUUACUUGAGUUAUCACUGCUUCCUACUGUGGAGGUCCUUAUCAGGAAGCUGAAUCAAGAGGCAGAGCCAGAAAUCAAACCCAGGUACUUUGAUACGUUACAAAAAUGUGUUAACUGGCAUCAUAAUCACUAUGUCAAAUACCUACCCUCUAUUGUGAUUUUUAGUAGAAGGAAUGAGCAAGGGAAGGAAAGCCCUUUAGGAUUGGCUAGGUUGAAUCAUAACUGCACUAAAGAUUGUCCCUAAUUACCUGGUAUGUGACUCCAUGUUGAUUUAGGACAGAGAAAAUUUAACCUGCUGCUUCACAGGUUAUGAAAGAGAUUGUGGCUAGGGGUAUGUGUUUUGGGAUGGUUGGUUUAAAUAUGGAAAAUGUGCUGGUGGGACAGUUGUUUUCUAUCCCUAGGAACUAGCUAUUCCUGGGAGGAACAAUCUCAUCAGCAUUCAAAAGGUCCCAAGUGAUCAAAGCAUCCAAAAAUACAGAAUUUUUUUUUUUUUUAAAUGAUCAGUAAGCAUGUUGAAUCUGAAAAGCAGACAACUAUCCACUGGAAUGUGAAAGAAGUCUGCUGUAUCUGACUGAGCCUAUAACUGAAGACUCUGGCUAACUGCUGUGAAUGCUGUUCACAUUCACUGAGAAUUUUCCCCAUGUGCCAAUGGAACUCACUUGGAGCCAUCCAUGGAGGUAACCAGGAUGCUACCUGCUAUGAAACCUACAAAGCUCGUGGGAAAUCCAAUUAUUCAACAAGCUAUCUUAUUUGAAGAUAUGCAGAGCUGAGAGAUUUGUGCACAUUUUCCUUGUCUAGUUUAAAUGCUUUGUGUUGAGAAGUGACAACAUCGGCACAGCACAGAUGAGGCUUACCGUGGGUUCACUCAGGCUUCACUAGACUAUGCAAAGACUCAUCAAUAGUCCAGAUGUUCUCCAUGACUAAGCCAUAUAGGAGUCUCCUGCCAGAACACAGAGAAUGAAAUCAAACUCCUGAAGAUCUACCUCCACCACAGCAGACAUGUGAAAAAUACAUGCAGGUCAUCAUACCUGUUGUCAGUCUUUGAAGUUGAAUAUAUUUUUUUCAUAGAUUAGUGCUUUUGAUUAUCUGCUGAUAUACAUUUGAGUGAUUACAGAUGUGUUCUGUUUUGUGAACAUAUACAGAUUUUUCUUGUUUCUUCAAAGUCUCUAACUGUUCAAUAUUAAUCCAUUUUUUUAAAAUCAUAAACCUGGGGAGGCAUUUAAUGUAGCAGUUAAGGUUCUACUUGGCAUACCCAUAUUCCAUAUCGGAGUGUCUGGAUUCAGGUGCAGGCUCUGAUUCUGAUUCGAGUUCCUGAUUCUACAGGUCCUCAUACAAAUCACUGCAACUUAUUCAGAAGACAGCUAGUAUUUGCACAACUCCCAUGUAUUCUCAUGUG